Molecule: non-coding RNA, 257 nt
Organism: Pelobates cultripes (western spadefoot toad)
Lineage: Eukaryota; Metazoa; Chordata; Amphibia; Anura; Pelobatidae
Source: the annotation of a GenBank genome assembly
CUCCUGGCACAAGUAGCUAAUUUUGUUUUCCAAUUUACAUCAAGAAGAUUAAAGUCACCCAUGAUGAUAACUUCCCCCUUCAUUGUCAUUUUAGCUAUUUCCUCAACUAGUAGAUUAUCUAACUCUUCAAUUUGUCCUGGGGGCCUAUAAAUCACACCUCCACGAGUUACUGUGUGAUUACCAAAUUCUAAAGUAACCCAAACGGACUCCAUGUUUGCCUCACUAACUUUUAUUAGGCUAGAUUUUAUGCUAUCCUU